AACGAACGCUGGCGGCAUGCCUAACACAUGCAAGUCGAACGAUGCUUUCGGGCAUAGUGGCGCACGGGUGCGUAACGCGUGGGAAUCUGCCCUGGGGUUCGGGAUAACAGCGGGAAACUGCUGCUAAUACCGGAUGAUAUCGCGAGAUCAAAGAUUUAUCGCCAUGGGAUGAGCCCGCGUCGGAUUAGGUAGUUGGUGGGGUAAGAGCCUACCAAGCCGACGAUCCGUAGCUGGUCUGAGAGGAUGAUCAGCCACACUGGGACUGAGACACGGCCCAGACUCCUACGGGAGGCAGCAGUGGGGAAUAUUGGACAAUGGGCGCAAGCCUGAUCCAGCAAUGCCGCGUGAGUGAUGAAGGCCUUAGGGUUGUAAAGCUCUUUUACCCGGGAUGAUAAUGACAGUACCGGGAGAAUAAGCCCCGGCUAACUCCGUG
RNAcentral lists this ribosomal RNA (433 nucleotides) under uncultured bacterium. Its description in RNAcentral is "partial 16S ribosomal RNA". It matches the Rfam family "Bacterial small subunit ribosomal RNA", at positions 29 to 507 of the family's 1533-position model. The record is from RNAcentral.